UUGUUGAUAUUGGAUACGAUAAGGUAAAUGUCUAAUUUCAAAUUUUUCAGUUCUUUGGCCACAUAUUUUCAUGGUGCAAACCUAUGAUGUGCCAACUUUGUAAUCACAAUCCAAAUUCAGAGCUGUUUAAAUCUUGUGUCCUUGCAUCCUCAACUGUUCAGGGUUCAACCUCUACAGGAAAAUCCAGGUUGCUGUCACUCUAACAGCCUCUUGUUUUGUCUUAUUAUUUUAAUUAUAUUUAGGAUCAAUUGUCAUUCACAUUUUAUUUUAUUUCUAUUAAAAAGGCCAGUGUGUGUAAUUGAUAUCAACUUUGUCCAUCAUCAGCGUUCUUGAUCUUGCAUAAACAGAGCAAAGAUUCCAAGUAAAAUAAACACUAUCAAAUGCUUACCUUCACAUAUCAAAACCAUUUUCAAUUGGAUUAUCAGGUUCUCUUCAUUUUACUGGGAUUUCCUCACAAUUUAUACUAAAAAAAUAAUGAUCUGCUGAACAACACACAUUUGAAAGUCAUUUGACCCAUUGCUAACAGUUUAAGAAAAAUAGACCAAAACACAAAAAGUUAACACAGCAAUGAACCGUGAAAAUGCGGUCAAGGUCAAAUAAAACCUGUGUCACUGACAUAUAGAUCAUAAAAUAUUUCCAUACAGCAAAUAUAGUUGACCUAUUGCAUUUAGUAUUAGAAAAAAAGACAAAAAUCAAAUCUUAACUGACCACUGAACCAUGAAAAUGAGGUCAAGGUCAGACAAC
Molecule: long non-coding RNA, 744 nt
Filed under: Mytilus galloprovincialis (Mediterranean mussel)
Lineage: Eukaryota; Metazoa; Mollusca; Bivalvia; Mytilida; Mytilidae
Source: RNAcentral